RNAcentral lists this ribosomal RNA (253 nucleotides) under uncultured bacterium. Its description in RNAcentral is "partial 16S ribosomal RNA". It matches the Rfam family "Bacterial small subunit ribosomal RNA", at positions 524 to 776 of the family's 1533-position model. The record is from RNAcentral.
UACGGAGGGUGCAAGCGUUAUUCGGAAUUACUGGGCGUAAAGCGUGCGUAGGCGGUUUUGCAAGUCAGGUGUGAAAUCCCCGGGCUUAACCUGGGAACUGCAUUUGAGACUGCACGGCUUGAGUACGGGAGAGGGGGAUGGAAUUCCGCGUGUAGCAGUGAAAUGCGUAGAUAUGCGGAGGAACACCAAUGGCGAAGGCAGCCCCCUGGGUCGACACUGACGCUCAGGCACGAAAGCGUGGGGAGCAAACAGG